Molecule: transfer RNA, 73 nt
Filed under: Bos taurus (domestic cattle)
Lineage: Eukaryota; Metazoa; Chordata; Mammalia; Artiodactyla; Bovidae
Rfam family: tRNA
About the family: Transfer RNA (tRNA) molecules are approximately 80 nucleotides in length. Their secondary structure includes four short double-helical elements and three loops (D, anti-codon, and T loops). Further hydrogen bonds mediate the characteristic L-shaped molecular structure. tRNAs have two regions of fundamental functional importance: the anti-codon, which is responsible for specific mRNA codon recognition, and the 3' end, to which the tRNAs corresponding amino acid is attached (by aminoacyl-tRNA synthetases). tRNAs cope with the degeneracy of the genetic code in two manners: having more than one tRNA (with a specific anti-codon) for a particular amino acid; and 'wobble' base-pairing, i.e. permitting non-standard base-pairing at the 3rd anti-codon position.
Source: Rfam by way of RNAcentral
UCCCUGGUGGUCCAGUGGUUAGGAAUCCGCCUUGCAAAUGCAAGGGAUGCAGGUUUGAUCCCUGUUUGGGGAA